RNAcentral lists this small nuclear RNA (265 nucleotides) under Erinaceus europaeus (western European hedgehog). RNAcentral's name for it is "7SK RNA". It matches the Rfam family "7SK RNA". Rfam says of the family: 7SK was discovered as an abundant small nuclear RNA in the mid-70s but a possible function has only recently been suggested. Two independent studies have found that 7SK RNA binds the CDK9/cyclin T complex (known as elongation factor P-TEFb). The record is from Rfam by way of RNAcentral. Lineage: Eukaryota; Metazoa; Chordata; Mammalia; Eulipotyphla; Erinaceidae.
GGAUUUGAGGGCAAUCUGGCUACAACAUCUGUCACCUCAUUGAUCACCAGCAUUGAUUCAGCUGAUCACUGUUCCAUGUGCAUCCCUCUGGAAGCUGGAUGCCCGGCUGAAGACGACGGCCUUUCCCAAAUAGAGAAGGACCUGUCUUCAGUCAAGGGUAUAUGAGUAGUUGCACUCCCCUGCUAGAACCUCCAAACAAUCUCUCAAGGUUAAAAAUAAUGCAGACAGACAUAUUUGUGCACAUGUGUACAUACACACUCUCCAG